AGAGUUUGAUCCUGGCUCAGGAUGAACGCUGGCGGCGUGCUUAACACAUGCAAGUCGAACGAAGAUGCCGGAGUGCUUGCACUUUGGCAGACUGAGUGGCGGACGGGUGAGUAACGCGUGGGUAACCUGCCUUAUACAGGGGGAUAACAGUUGGAAACGACUGCUAAUACCGCAUAAGCGCACGGUAUCGCAUGAUACAGUGUGAAAAACUCCGGUGGUAUAAGAUGGACCCGCGUCUGAUUAGCUUGUUGGUGAGGUAACGGCUCACCAAGGCGACGAUCAGUAGGGGUUCUGAGAGGAAGGUCCCCCACAUUGGAACUGAGACACGGUCCAAACUCCUACGGGAGGCAGCA
Molecule: ribosomal RNA, 353 nt
Filed under: uncultured bacterium
Lineage: Bacteria
Description: bacterial SSU rRNA
Rfam family: Bacterial small subunit ribosomal RNA
Source: RNAcentral